This 406-nucleotide ribosomal RNA is filed under the name uncultured bacterium. RNAcentral's name for it is "partial 16S ribosomal RNA". It matches the Rfam family "Bacterial small subunit ribosomal RNA", at positions 28 to 526 of the family's 1533-position model. The record is from RNAcentral.
GAUGAACGCUAGCUACAGGCUUAACACAUGCAAGUCGAGGGACGGGCGCACGGGUGAGUAACACGUAUCCAACCUGCCCUUUACUCGGGGAUAGCCUGUCGCAAGAAAGAUUAAUACCCGAUAUAAAGGAUGGGGAUGCGUUCCAUUAGGUUGUUGGUGAGGUAACGGCUCUCCAAGCCUUCGAUGGAUAGGGGUUCUGAGAGGAAGGUCCACCACAAUGGAGCUGAGACACGGUCUAAACUGGUAGGCGAGGCAGGAGUAAGGAAGAUUGGUCAAGGGGCGCUAGUCUGACACAGCCAAGUAGCGUGAAGGAUGAAGCCUUAUGGGUCGUAAACUUCUUUUAUAUAAGAAUAUGUAUUAUAUGAAUAAGGAUCGGCUAACUCCGUGCCAGCAGCCGCGGUAAUUC